ACUACGGGAGGCAGCAGUGAGGAAUAUUGGUCAAUGGGCGGAAGCCUGAACCAGCCAAGUAGCGUGCGGGAUGAAGGCCCUACGGGUCGUAAACCGCUUUUGCACGGGGAUAACACCCUCCACUUGUGGAGGUCUGCAGGUACCGUGCGAAGAAGCGCCGGCUAAUUCCGUGCCAGCAGCCGCGGUAAUACGGAAGGCCAGACCGUUAUCCUGAUUCAUUGGGCUUAAAUGGGGCGUAGUCGGUCGUUCAAGUCAUAUGUACAAUCGCGCGGAUCAACCGCGCCCCGGAGUUGACACUGGACGCCUUGAGUUCACAACAGGCAGGCGGAAGUCGUGGUGUAGCGGUGAAAUGCAUAGAUAUCACGAGGAACCCCGAUUGCGAAGGCAGCCUGCCGGGGUGCGACUGACGCUGAGGCUCGAAGGUGCGGGUAUCAAACAGGAUUAGAUACCCGAGUAGUC
Molecule: ribosomal RNA, 459 nt
Filed under: uncultured bacterium
Lineage: Bacteria
Description: partial 16S ribosomal RNA
Rfam family: Bacterial small subunit ribosomal RNA
Source: RNAcentral